Non-coding RNA from Ornithorhynchus anatinus (platypus), 72 nucleotides. NCBI's taxonomy places the organism in Eukaryota, Metazoa, Chordata, Mammalia, Monotremata, Ornithorhynchidae. The record is from Rfam.
AGCAGUGUGGCUCAGUGGAAAGAGCACGGGCUUGGGAGCCAGAAUUCAUGGGUUCAAAUCCCGGCUCUGCUA